CCUACGGGAGGCAGCAGUGGGGAAUUUUGGACAAUGGGCGCAAGCCUGAUCCAGCAAUGCCGCGUGAGUGAAGAAGGCCUUCGGGUUGUAAAGCUCUUUUGUCAGGGAAGAAACGGUGGGAGCUAAUAUCUCCCACUAAUGACGGUACCUGAAGAAUAAGCACCGGCUAACUACGUGCCAGCAGCCGCGGUAAUACGUAGGGUGCAAGCGUUAAUCGGAAUUACUGGGCGUAAAGCGUGCGCAGGCGGUUUUGUAAGUCUGUCGUGAAAGCCCCGGGCUCAACCUGGGAAUUGCGAUGGAGACUGCAAGGCUUGAAUCUGGCAGAGGGGGGUAGAAUUCCACGUGUAGCAGUGAAAUGCGUAGAGAUGUGGAGGAACACCGAUGGCGAAGGCAGCCCCCUGGGUCAAGAUUGACGCUCAUGCACGAAAGCGUGGGGAGCAAACAGGAUUAGAUACCCUGGUAGUCCACGCCCUAAACGAUGUCUACUAGUUGUCGGGUUUUAAUUAACUUGGUAACGCAGCUAACGCGUGAAGUAGACCGCCUGGGGAGUACGGUCGCAAGNUUAAAACUUNAAAGUUGAUAGNGNGNGNGAGNGCGAGACGACGACGAGGAGAGG
RNAcentral lists this ribosomal RNA (616 nucleotides) under uncultured bacterium. RNAcentral's name for it is "bacterial SSU rRNA". It matches the Rfam family "Bacterial small subunit ribosomal RNA", at positions 338 to 946 of the family's 1533-position model. The record is from RNAcentral.